GUUGAUUUGUAUGAUCUUUCGCAGAGGCACCUUCUGUGAGUCUACUCAGUUUUCCAGAAGGGAAAAAGGCGAGAGCUGAGUUUAGACCUGGACACCUUUCUAAAUAUCAUAGAGCAAAAGUAAAUUGCCCCAUUAAGGCUUGCACAUUACACUUAGGGUAAGUACUGUUCAACUUUCCUUUUUUAUAGGAGUUGCCUGCCUUAACUUUUCAGCUUAAUACGAGCAGCGUAAAUUAAGAAAAAAAAUUAACUCAAUCAGUUAUUUCACUGAAAUAGAAAAUUUGCAGAUUUUAAAGGGUAUCUAUUGUGCAUAAAUUUGGGGAUACGAGAAUUUGCCAGUGAAAUGAUAGCAGCUCUGUGCUUACAGAGCAAAGAUGUGCUAGUCUGAACAUGCCUGAUCUCAUCUGGAAUCGAAAGCUAAAUCUAGGUGGGCCUGUAAUAAUACCAGAAAAGGAACACAUGUAUCUUUUGUGCAACCUUUUUUUUUUUUUUUUUUUAAAGCUAGGCUUCCAAAGGGAAUGACAAAGAAGCAGGUUCUCCUCUUGCUUAAUAAGUAGUCAUAGUUUGCCUCUGGAGAUAUGUAUUUCCAGUUGUUUUAGUUGUUUUGUUUUGUUUUGUUUUGUUGUUGUCAUCGCUAUCGAAGAAUAUUCUUUCCUGUCAGUGAUUAUUAACACUUUCCGUUUUUCAGAAUGCUUUAACUCUGUUUGAUGUUUCCUCACUUGGUUACCUUUCUCAAGUCUGCGAUGACCCUCUCAGGCUUUGCCAUUCUUAUCGAUUCUUACCAGAAUGUACUUACUCAUUAGCUGUUUUGUUAUAGUUAUGGUGGAGAUAAUCUUGUUUUUCAGGCUUUUAUAACUAACCAAACAAAUUACCUUUUGAGGUGAAAUUUCUCAUAGUUAUCCUUGACACAGAACUGAACUUGUCUUGAAAAGGCUUGAAGAAAAUCCAAUUAGCCGUUUUUUGAGAACUGAAUAUUCUAAUAAAUGCAAAUGGAUUAUUUUACAAAAUACUUAUUGAUGUGCAAUGCUUUUCUAAUCUGUUUUUCUUUUCGUGCUUUAAAACAGACCCUGAAAAUUAAAUGUAUUAAAAAGAAAGAAAGAAAAAGAAAGAAACCUGCCAGGUUAAUACUGAUAUUUUAAAUACCCAAUUUAAAAUAAUGCUCAAAGUUUGAAUUUCUUUGCAACAUAUCACCUUUCAGUGUCAGUCAGUAAUACCUGGGCAGGUAUAUAUAUACAUUCACACCCACAGGGAAACAUGAAUCCACUUUACAGUUACAUUAAUUCUAUUUUAACCUACAAGAGAAAAGGUUAGCAUUACUGUAAAACUUUUGUUAAUUCAUUAUAUUUUAUUUUUCUGUAAUAAAAAAUUCACUGAACUAUUGCUUUCAUCCAAUUAUAUAUAUACUUAACACCCAUUUAUAUUCAAAUAUUUUAUCUUAAUUUAUGAAGUAUUUUUAUAAGUCUUAUAUGCUGCUGAAUUUUAUGCAGCUAUAUGAACGUUUAAGUUUUUUCUGAUACAAUUUGCUUUGUUCCGAAUCUGUUACUGUGUUAGAAGUUUUUUUCUUUCCCAAUCUAGAAAGAGUAUGGCCAUCUUUUCCUAUAUGUGAUAUCUAUACAUCUUCAGUAUUCUGAAGAAGAGAUUUUUUAACCUGCAAUCUCUUGGAAAGCUUUCAAACAAGUGGGAGAAGUAAUCUUUACUUUGCUUCUCCUUGAUCCAUCUGUUUGCCCUCACUGUACCACCCGUCACCACCAGCAACCCUGAAAAAAACAACAGUAAUAAAUAUGAUACGAUAAUUUUUCUGAUCACAGAACCAGGAAAUACCAGAGAAAAUUGUGGCAUAUGUAGGAAAAUGCCAAGAGCUUCUCCAGUAAGAUCAGCUGUUUUUAUACUUUUUUUUUUUCCUCUUGAAUUUUGUUUGUGACUUUUUUGGCUUGCUGAAGCACAUCCCCAUAAUCUUACGAAGCCACAGCAAAUUCCCAAUGCCACAACAAUACUGUGCAGCCGGGGAGAGGCCAGAAGAGCUGAUCCUGGGUGGCUGCAGGCUUCCCCAGCAAUGGUGCAAGGCAGGAGGAUGUGUAAUCUGGUCUAAAUUUGAAGAAGAGGGCAAGUAUAGCAUUUUUAUCUAGCUUGAAUAUGGCAUGGUAAUUCUGUAUUAAUGAGGUCAAUGGUAAAUGCAGUUCAGCUACACAUUUCUGUUUUUCCAGACAUACAAACACAUUCUGUGGAAAUAGAAAAUGUCUAAAAAAUGGAAAUGAUGAAAUAACUUGAGACAUGACAAAUCGCUUAACCUAUCUGUGUAAUAGUGUAUUUGUCAAAUAAAUAGAAAACCAUCUAUCCUCAUCUACUUCACAGCAGUAUUGCUAAGGCUGAUUGUGCACACAUAUAUUAAUGUAUAUAUCGUAGCUAUCUAUUUACAGCAGGGGAGAAUGGUUUUAAAAUAAAUGAAUCAGAGUUUUAUGUGUGCAUCCAUUGUGAAGAAUUCAGUUGUGUCCUUACCGUAGGAAGACAGGGUUAACUGAGAGUUUUGAGAGUUGUGGUAUGUGCUUUUCCAUUUGGGUCUGGG
This 2562-nucleotide long non-coding RNA is filed under the name Homo sapiens (human). RNAcentral describes it as "HSALNT0313909". Lineage: Eukaryota; Metazoa; Chordata; Mammalia; Primates; Hominidae. The record is from RNAcentral.